AUUUGCAAAUGCUUUUAAUUCCCUCUUGAAAUCUCCUGAAAGAGUUUCUACGUGGCUGGCUUGCGCCUGGGCGUUUGUGAGUUCGGAUUGAUCGCGGGUGUCUGGCCGUAAGCAUGCCCUGUGUGUGUGUGUGUGUGUGUGUGUGUGUGUGUGUGUGUGUGGCAGCGACUUUCCUUGUGAUCCAGGCUACAAUCCUCUCUCCUUCAAGCUUAAACAGCCCAAGACAGCCACCCCUCCUCCUCCUCCUCCUCCUCAUCCUCCAGCUCCUCCCCUCCUCCUUCUAAAAAUACUGAAGCCACAGUUCUGUUCCCAUUUUGUUUUGUUUUGAUGCACUCGGAAUAAUCACAGUAACAAGCAGGGCCUGCGAUCGCUGCCUCAUUCUGGCGCUUAGGACUUCAAGCGCUCUGAUCAGACAGCGGUCUUGGGGGAGCACGUUGUCAGCUGUGCCUGGCUCUUGCACGCAGUCCCUCACCUAGUUUACUGGUCCCCUGUUCCAGACACGGCUCCUCUCUCUCUGUCUGCUUUUCGGCUCUUUCCUGCUCUCUCACACGCUCCCUUUCUGCGCCUCUCUCUCUUUUUAUACAGGCUUGCACAGCUUGGCAGCUCUUGUUCCAGACUCCCGCCACUAUUGGUGCAAAGUGACGCCACCCUUAGCCGUAAAAAAGCGCCUCCUUCUAACACCCAGCCCUGCCCUUGAGCUCCUGCCUCCCUGCUGAGCACGCGCUGAUCCCUCGGGUCGUCGGGGUCUACAACGCUGGAGGGUUUCGGAUCGUAAUCUCCUCUCUCCUUCUGCCUUUUCAAAAUCUCUCGCGCCGAAGCCAGGUCGGAGUUGGGCCUUUUCUGAAUGAAGUGUGACGCGAUUCACUCAUUCUUGCCAGACGCCCUCCGUUAUCCAGAGAAUAGAGAGACUUUUUU
Molecule: long non-coding RNA, 915 nt
Filed under: Lepisosteus oculatus (spotted gar)
Lineage: Eukaryota; Metazoa; Chordata; Actinopteri; Semionotiformes; Lepisosteidae
Description: lncRNA (ENSLOCG00000022983.1)
Source: RNAcentral